Rattus norvegicus (Norway rat) is the source of this 116-nucleotide small nucleolar RNA. Ensembl annotates it as small nucleolar RNA SNORA26. NCBI's taxonomy places the organism in Eukaryota, Metazoa, Chordata, Mammalia, Rodentia, Muridae. The record is from Ensembl.
AUAGUUUAGUCAAAGUGGAGAAUCUGGAGGCUAACACAGAAGGGUAAAGGAAGUCUCCAUAAAACCCAGAGAGGAAAAAUGCACCUCCUCUUUGGAUCCUGUCUGGAGUCACAGAU